GACGAACGCUGGCGGCGUGCUUAACACAUGCAAGUCGAACGGUGAAGGGACUGGUUUUGCUGGUCCUGGAUGAGUGGCGAACGGGUGAGUAACACGUGAGUAACCUGCCCCCUUCUUCUGGAUAACCGCAUGAAAGUGUGGCUAAUACGGGAUAUUCUGGGUCUGUCGCAUGGUGGGCCUGGGAAAGAUUGCGCCUUUUUUGGUGUUUUUGGUGGGGGAUGGGCUCGCGGCCUAUCAGCUUGUUGGUGGGGUGAUGGCCUACCAAGGCGGUGACGGGUAGCCGGCCUGAGAGGGUGGACGGUCACACUGGGACUGAGACACGGCCCAGACUCCUACGGGAGGCAGCAGUGGGGAAUAUUGCACAAUGGGCGCAAGCCUGAUGCAGCGACGCCGCGUGAGGGAUGGAGGCCUUCGGGUUGUGAACCUCUUUCGCCAGUGAAGCAGGCCUGCCUCUUUUUGUGGGUGGGUUGACGGUAGCUGGAUAAGAAGCGCUGGCUAACUACGUG
RNAcentral lists this ribosomal RNA (506 nucleotides) under uncultured bacterium. RNAcentral describes it as "partial 16S ribosomal RNA". It matches the Rfam family "Bacterial small subunit ribosomal RNA", at positions 28 to 507 of the family's 1533-position model. The record is from RNAcentral.